Myotis brandtii (Brandt's bat) is the source of this 74-nucleotide non-coding RNA. The record is from Rfam. NCBI's taxonomy places the organism in Eukaryota, Metazoa, Chordata, Mammalia, Chiroptera, Vespertilionidae.
CUCGGGGAGGGGGAGUCCCUCAGCCCAGAAUGCGAGAAGGCGCAGGCCAAGCCGAGGGACCCCACUGGUGCAUG